This is a long non-coding RNA of Acanthochromis polyacanthus (spiny chromis), 1817 nucleotides long. RefSeq lists it as uncharacterized. The transcript has 3 exons. The record is from RefSeq and is a predicted model, not a curated record. NCBI's taxonomy places the organism in Eukaryota, Metazoa, Chordata, Actinopteri, Pomacentridae.
CUGGCCUGGGAAUGGCUCAGAAUCUAACAGGAGCAGCCAGAAAGUGUUGCUGGGGAGAUGGAUCUUGGAAUGACCUGCUUCACCUCUGGACAAGAGGACUAAAAGGAUGGACAGACUGACCAGAUAUACAGAACAACAAGCCUCUGUGAUGAACAAGCUUUUUUGUGCUUUUGAUGUGAAACCAAUGAACUGCUGGAAUCCUAAACUUCACCACACAUCCCACUGAUACUUCUGUUCUGUACUAAACUAAAUAUUUAAAGUCCUCCAGUGGAAGAACAUUCAUCUCUUUACAGUUUAAACAAAACAUUCCAGAGCUGUCAGAACCUGUUUAGACCUGAAGCUGAGAGAUUACACUAUGAAGGUAGAAAAACAUGUCAGAGCCCUUCCCCCUGCUUGGUCAAUGCUGACACAUGGACCUGUUCAGCCAAUCACUGCACAGAAUUUUAUCUGGUUCUAAAGUUCACCUUCAGACACACAAGAAACUAUUUCUCUGAACAGCUGUACCUCACAGCUUCACCUGAAUCAUCAGUAAAUGACUUUACAUUAGUGUUUACGGAUUAAAGUGUGGUUGUUGUUGGAUAUUUGUACCAAAGUGUUGAUCAGAGGAAGAAGAAGAAGAAGUCAUUCCUGAACUGCACCUGGGCACUACAUCAAUCACCGGACUCAACUCUUCCUCUCUGCCACCGUCUUGCCCCAGUCUGCAGACAAGCGCCCCCUGUUAUGGAUCUGGCAGCACUGAGCCUCUGUUAAACACCUCAGGAGACAACGAUGCUGAGGGUGAUGCUGCCAAAGCAACAGCUCCACCUGCUGGUCAACCAACGCCACAAGGAAUGGCUUCAUGACGUUGCAGGUCCAGCUGUAGGAAUGAAUCAGGACACGGACGUUGACCCCUUGGAUGUUCCUGGUGACCAGAGGGAAAAGUUCCAUCCUCCAGCUUGUGGCACAGACGGGAACACUCAAAAACGUAAGCAUCAUGGCACUUCCCAGGCCAGCCAACAUCACAAUCAAGGAACCUGUAAGUGUGGUCUACAGGUCCUUGAAGGAGAACACUGUACCAUCCUGUCCUGUUGCAGUAGUCGGUGGGAUAGCUCUGUGGGCCAACAACAGGGAUGAGUGCUGACCAAAGCAGCAGCACACAUGGGGAAUCCUGUCUUCUUCUCAAAGCUGACAUGAUAGCCUGUAGUUCAGGGACAGGUUUUGGCCUCUUAACGUAGAUCUUUCUGAGUUUGAUCAGGGCCUCACACACUUCCCAGAAGAUGCUGCAGGCUGUGCUCCAAUACCAAACAGGUUGGUGACAUCAUGAAACUCCACAUUACUGGAGAGCUUGUAGAUGGUAACUGCAGCCCUCUUCUCUAACGGCACCGGUUCCAUCAUGUCAGUGGUUUGACAGCUGGUCACACAGUAUGCUGAAGGCCUCUUCUAGUCUUUCUCCAGACAUUUCUGGAGAACUUCUGCUUCCCAGAAGGAAUGGCCUCACUGCUGUGGUGUUCUUUCACUGUACCAUGCAUCUGCUAUUAAUAAAGGAAGGGCAGUCAGUGUAAACAUGUUCUCAGUGUGUAGUGUUGAUAUUUUACUGAAGUGAAUAAAUAAAUCAUUCCUCUUAAUAAAUGUAAGUGCUGAUAAACAGUUGGCAUAAGAACAGUAUCAUGUCCUGUUAAUAAAUGUAUGACAUUUAAACCGAGCACACACUGUCACAGACCACAGCUAAGCUCUGGAAACCAGCCAGCUGUCAGUGUUGCUCACAUUUGCAGGAAGGUAAGAUAGCUAAUUAAUGGCUGAUAACGGACCAUCAGGGUGUUUGGAUUCAGCCUGUUCAA